UACGUAGGGUGCAAGCGUUGUCCGGAAUUAUUGGGCGUAAAGAGCUCGUAGGCGGUCUGUCGCGUCGGCUGUGAAAACCUGGGGCUUAACUCCGGGCCUGCAGCCGAUACGGGCAGACUAGAGUUCGGCAGGGGAGACUGGAAUUCCUGGUGUAGCGGUGAAAUGCGCAGAUAUCAGGAGGAACACCGAUGGCGAAGGCAGGUCUCUGGGCCACUACUGACGCUGAGAAGCGAAAGCAUGGGGAGCGAACAGG
This 253-nucleotide ribosomal RNA is filed under the name uncultured bacterium. RNAcentral's name for it is "partial 16S ribosomal RNA". It matches the Rfam family "Bacterial small subunit ribosomal RNA", at positions 524 to 776 of the family's 1533-position model. The record is from RNAcentral.